RNAcentral lists this ribosomal RNA (497 nucleotides) under uncultured bacterium. RNAcentral describes it as "partial 16S ribosomal RNA". It matches the Rfam family "Bacterial small subunit ribosomal RNA", at positions 28 to 507 of the family's 1533-position model. The record is from RNAcentral.
GACGAACGCUGGCGGCGUGCCUAAUACAUGCAAGUAGAACGCUGAAGAGAGGAGCUUGCUCUUCUUGGAUGAGUUGCGAACGGGUGAGUAACGCGUAGGUAACCUGCCUUGUAGCGGGGGAUAACUAUUGGAAACGAUAGCUAAUACCGCAUAACAAUGGAUGACACAUGUCAUUUAUUUGAAAGGGGCAAUUGCUCCACUACAAGAUGGACCUGCGUUGUAUUAGCUAGUAGGUGAGGUAACGGCUCACCUAGGCGACGAUACAUAGCCGACCUGAGAGGGUGAUCGGCCACACUGGGACUGAGACACGGCCCAGACUCCUACGGGAGGCAGCAGUAGGGAAUCUUCGGCAAUGGGGGCAACCCUGACCGAGCAACGCCGCGUGAGUGAAGAAGGUUUUCGGAUCGUAAAGCUCUGUUGUAAGUCAAGAACGAGUGUGAGAGUGGAAAGUUCACACUGUGACGGUAGCCUACCAGAAAGGGACGGCUAACUACGUG